Molecule: ribosomal RNA, 455 nt
Filed under: uncultured Sphingobacteriales bacterium
Lineage: Bacteria; Pseudomonadati; Bacteroidota; Sphingobacteriia; Sphingobacteriales
Description: bacterial SSU rRNA
Rfam family: Bacterial small subunit ribosomal RNA
Source: RNAcentral
ACAAGCGGUGGAGCAUGUGGUUUAAUUCGAUGAUACGCGAGGAACCUUACCUGGGCUCAAAUGUAUGUUGACGUAUUCUGAAAGGGAUACUUCUUCGGACAAUAUACAAGGUGCUGCAUGGUUGUCGUCAGCUCGUGCCGUGAGGUGUCGGGUUAAGUCCCAUAACGAGCGCAACCCCUAUCAUUAGUUGCCAUCAGGUCAAGCUGGGGACUCUAAUGGAACUGCCUACGCAAGUAGUGAGGAAGGCGGGGAUGACGUCAAAUCAGCACGGCCCUUACGUCCAGGGCUACACACGUGCUACAAUGGCCGAUACAGAGGGCAGCUACCUGGUGACAGGAUGCAAAUCUCCAAAGUCGGUCUCAGUUCGGAUCGGAGUCUGCAACCCGACUCCGUGAAGUUGGAUUCGCUAGUAAUCGCGCAUCAGCCAUGGCGCGGUGAAUACGUUCCCGGGCCUU